GUGCCAGCAGCCGCGGUAAUACCGGCAGCCCGAGUGAUGGCCGAUAUUAUUGGGCCUAAAGCGUUCGUAGCCGGCCAGACAAGUCUGUUGGGAAAUCCACGCGCUCAACGCGUGGGCGUCCAGCGGAAACUGUCUGGCUUGGGGCCGGAGGACUCGAGGGGUACGUCCGGGGUAGGAGUGAAAUCCUGUAAUCCUGGACGGACCGCCGAUGGCGAAAGCACGUCGCGAGAACGGAUCCGACAGUGAGGGACGAAAGCUAGGGUCUCGAACCGGAUUAGAUACCCUUGUAGUCC
Molecule: ribosomal RNA, 293 nt
Filed under: uncultured bacterium
Lineage: Bacteria
Description: partial 16S ribosomal RNA
Rfam family: Archaeal small subunit ribosomal RNA
Source: RNAcentral